This is a long non-coding RNA of Gigantopelta aegis, 400 nucleotides long. RefSeq lists it as uncharacterized. The transcript is spliced from 3 exons. The record is from RefSeq and is a predicted model, not a curated record. Lineage: Eukaryota; Metazoa; Mollusca; Gastropoda; Neomphalida; Peltospiridae.
GCGCCACCACCCGAACCCGAUCCUGAUCCAUACAUCUAUGAUUUCUGGAAGGAAAAGGCUGAAACAAAGUGGGUUUACACUGGAACGUCCGUGGAAUACGAGCCUGGUGGGGUGACUAGCUAUACCACCACUGGCUACACCACUGUACCAGUCGCGCAGGUGGUGCCAGUCUCGCAAGUGGCGCAACACGCAACUUCCCCCCAGUUAGUUACUGUAGCCUAAAUAUGACAGGAUAUGAAGAUAUUGACCACAAAGGUUUUCCCAAGAGGACCGUUGCACCAAGUCCACAAAUACAGUUGUAAUUAUUUCACUUUAGGAUCAGUGCACGAAUAUUUAGAAGAAAAGUUGUACCAAGUUUACAUAUAAACAUGUGGCAGUUUUGGAUAACCAUUGGACCAAG